RNAcentral lists this transfer RNA (68 nucleotides) under Tachycines shuangcha. RNAcentral's name for it is "tRNA-Leu". Lineage: Eukaryota; Metazoa; Arthropoda; Insecta; Orthoptera; Rhaphidophoridae. The record is from RNAcentral.
ACUAUUUUGGCAGAUAAGUGCCUUGAAUUUAGAUUUCAUUUAUGUAGAUAAAUUUUCUACAAAUAGUA